RNAcentral lists this long non-coding RNA (1598 nucleotides) under Nicotiana benthamiana. Its description in RNAcentral is "long non-coding RNA (NBEN_LNC006076)". The record is from RNAcentral. Lineage: Eukaryota; Viridiplantae; Streptophyta; Magnoliopsida; Solanales; Solanaceae.
AAACACAUAUGGGGUAUGGGAAUGUGAUUCAUUGCAAGAAGUGAACAAGAUAUAAGCACAUUGCAUAAAGGUUACAAACGUUUAAGGUAAUCAUAGACAUAAGAACUUGUAAGUAAACACAUUAGAGCUGGUGCUGAAAUUAGAACUAGGAUAUACCAAUUUCAUAAAGAGACAAGCAAAAGAAAGCGGAAGUCUUGCAAAGAAGCCAUAGUACAAACAGCAAGAGAACAGUUACUUACCAAGCAAGGAACAAUGCAAGAAAAUAAUCAUGUAUCAAUUAGAAUCAAUCAGUAGUAGAAGUCCCUUUAAUUAAGGAGCUCAAAUUUGAACGGUAAAGAGCAUAAGUUAUUUAAGGAAUGAGAUCAAGUACACAUAUUCUGCAUAGCAUACAAAUAAGGGGAAAAUACAUAGGGGUUUGAUUAAAGGAACAAAGUUUGAAAUACAAUUUUAAUUAAAUAAGACAAGAACAAAGUAAAUUAAAUAGUACAUAGUAAAUUAGGGAAUCAGGGAUUCAAAAAUCACUAAAGAACAAAAUCAAGAAUAGGGGAAUCGAAAGGUUAAAGUGAAAUUUCAAAUAAAACAAGAAAAAUAUCAAUUAUGCUUACACAAGGAAGUCUGAAAUCAGUCCCAAAAUUGAACGACAUUAUAGAUGGACAAGCAGUGUAUAUAAAGAAUGCACAACAUUAGGCGUGUGAGGUUAAAGCAUAGCAAAAAGAAACAGUAGUGCUAAUGAAACAUGAUAGCCAUAUAGGCUAGUCUAGUAACAGGGAGAAGGGGGUAUCAGAAGCAUGCCAAAGAGGUCAAGUAAACAAUGUCUUAUAGAGUUUAGCAAAAAGUCAGAACCACAUGGAGAAACAAAGUUGAUGAAACAAAUUCUGGAACUCAAAGAUUAGGUCUUUGAAACCAAGCCAGUUUAGAGAUGAUAAACAAACAAAUCACAUAACGAGUGGACUCAAAACCCAAAUGAAACCCCAAAUUCUAGGGUUUCUAAACGAAAUAAGUUUAGAAAACUCAAAGGGACUGAGACCUUAAGCAUGUAUGUCCCAGAAAACUUCAUGAAAAUAAAUAAGAGGGAAAUCAUGGAAAAUACAGUAGGUGAAAUCAAAAGAACAAGGUAUAAGAAAACACAGCAGAAGAAAACACAUAAGAAUCACAGUAGAGCAUGUAAAAUCAGAGAAAUCCUAAGUCGGAGAACAUGAAAGGUUGGAAAGCAAACUUUUGAAAGAAACUUUGGGAAAUCAUUUGAAAUCUUAAAAUAAACACAGAUCUUGAGAAAUUAGGAAAAUCUCUAAAGGUUGAAGCGAGAAAGCCUGGAAAAGUCAUGAUCUAACUUAGAGAGGCUUAAAAGACCAAAAGCAACCGGAGCAAGGCCCGAGAUGGAUGGGAUCUUUGAAUAGAUGAAGAUCUUAGUGAAGACCCCUGAGGUCCUUUCUCGAUCCUUCAAACAGCGGCCAUGCAGGAGCCGUAUGAGGCAAGUACAAGCGUUCAAUGGCUUUGGAAGCCAUGGAUUCAGGCAGUAUUUUGGACGAUAACAGGAGGAAGGAGGCUAGGGUUAGGUUUAGAUCUUAGAGAGAAUCAAAGAGGAUAGCAGAUUCAAG